RNAcentral lists this small nucleolar RNA (130 nucleotides) under Castor canadensis (American beaver). RNAcentral's name for it is "Small nucleolar RNA SNORA51 (ENSCCNG00000030987.1)". It matches the Rfam family "Small nucleolar RNA SNORA51". From Rfam's summary of the family: ACA51 is a member of the H/ACA class of snoRNA that guide the sites of modification of uridines to pseudouridines. Lineage: Eukaryota; Metazoa; Chordata; Mammalia; Rodentia; Castoridae. The record is from Rfam by way of RNAcentral.
GACCUCCUGGUGCUUACCACGACUGUGUUCUUACAUUGACCAAAUAGAAAGAGGAGACAAAGUAAACCUAUCCCACAUACACCUCUGUACACUCUGUACGUGGGUCUGCAUUGUGAAUGGGGAGACAUGG